Non-coding RNA from Rattus norvegicus (Norway rat), 689 nucleotides. The record is from RefSeq and is a predicted model, not a curated record. NCBI's taxonomy places the organism in Eukaryota, Metazoa, Chordata, Mammalia, Rodentia, Muridae.
UUGCAUAUGCUUGGCCCAGGGAGUGGCACUAUUAGAAGGUGGCCCUGUUGAAGUAAGUGUGUCACUGUGGGUGAAGGCUUUAAGACCCUCAUCCUAAGGGGCUGGGGAUUUAGCUCAGUGGUAGAGCGCUUACCUAGGAAGCGCAAGGCCCUGGGUUCGGUCCCCAGCUCCGGAAAAAAAAAAAAAGACCCUCAUCCUAGCUGCCUGGAAGCCAGUAUUCUGCUUGCAGCCUUCAGAUGAAGAUGUAGAACUCUCAGCUCCUCCUGCACCAUGCCUGCCUGGAUGCUGCCAUGUUCCCACCUUGAUGAUAAUGGACUGAACCUCUGAACUUUGUUAGGGGGUUGAAAGAGUGGGAGAAAAAGGGUGGAGAAGGGUGGAAGAAAAGAAGAGCCCACAAUGUAGCAAGGACAGCCACACAGAACCAUGAAACAACUGGAACUGUAGUGCACCUCCCAUGCUGGUUGGAAGAGUCUCACGGCAGCAUAGAAGCAAAAAGGCCAGUCAGUGGUCACUGUCAAGGGAAUGAACGGGAAGACAACCAGCCAACUUGGUGCCUGCCUACCGGCCUGCAUUGUGUCCCAGGUCCCCAGCUCUGUGAGCCUCCACCCAUGCUGGGGUGAUGCAGCUGUCUUAAGUCAUUUCUGUGCCUUUAAGGAACCCCUCACCAAUAUUCCCGUAAACCACCCAAA